This 725-nucleotide ribosomal RNA is filed under the name Enterobacteriaceae bacterium. Its description in RNAcentral is "bacterial SSU rRNA". It matches the Rfam family "Bacterial small subunit ribosomal RNA", at positions 773 to 1498 of the family's 1533-position model. Lineage: Bacteria; Pseudomonadati; Pseudomonadota; Gammaproteobacteria; Enterobacterales; Enterobacteriaceae. The record is from RNAcentral.
CAGGAUUAGAUACCCUGGUAGUNCACGCCGUAAACGAUGUCGACUUGGAGGUUGUGCCCUUGAGGCGUGGCUUCCGGAGCUAACGCGUUAAGUCGACCGCCUGGGGAGUACGGCCGCAAGGUUAAAACUCAAAUGAAUUGACGGGGGCCCGCACAAGCGGUGGAGCAUGUGGUUUAAUUCGAUGCAACGCGAAGAACCUUACCUACUCUUGACAUCCAGAGAACUUAGCAGAGAUGCUUUGGUGCCUUCGGGAACUCUGAGACAGGUGCUGCAUGGCUGUCGUCAGCUCGUGUUGUGAAAUGUUGGGUUAAGUCCCGCAACGAGCGCAACCCUUAUCCUUUGUUGCCAGCGGUCCGGCCGGGAACUCAAAGGAGACUGCCAGUGAUAAACUGGAGGAAGGUGGGGAUGACGUCAAGUCAUCAUGGCCCUUACGAGUAGGGCUACACACGUGCUACAAUGGCGCAUACAAAGAGAAGCGACCUCGCGAGAGCAAGCGGACCUCAUAAAGUGCGUCGUAGUCCGGAUUGGAGUCUGCAACUCGACUCCAUGAAGUCGGAAUCGCUAGUAAUCGUAGAUCAGAAUGCUACGGUGAAUACGUUCCCGGGCCUUGUACACACCGCCCGUCACACCAUGGGAGUGGGUUGCAAAAGAAGUAGGUAGCUUAACCUUCGGGAGGGCGCUUACCACUUUGUGAUUCAUGANNGGGGUGAAGUCGUAACAAGGUA